Paramormyrops kingsleyae is the source of this 860-nucleotide long non-coding RNA. RefSeq lists it as uncharacterized. The record is from RefSeq and is a predicted model, not a curated record. Lineage: Eukaryota; Metazoa; Chordata; Actinopteri; Osteoglossiformes; Mormyridae.
CUUCUAUAAAGCUUUGGUGCCCAGUGGGGGGCAUUGCCUGACUUGACGGUGUUGAUACUGCCCACUUCCUUCGACUCUCCUAGCAGCAUGAUAACUCGGAUUGAAGGCAGCGUGUACAUCGCUUCGUAGCAGGACAGUUUCUCCUCCAGUGUGACACCGGUAUGGUUUGCCUUUCCCCUCUUGCGUGUGAUUGAGGGCGCUGCCUGAGUGAUGGUGUCUGGAUGAUUUACCGGCUGCAAGAACGCGACGGGGACUUUGUAGGACCACUGCUGCUCUGUUGGAUCUGUUUUAUAUUUUGGUUUUAUGUUUCUUUUCAUUAAUUGUGUUUUGUGUUAAGUGGUUGUUCUGUAUUUAAUGUAUAAUUUUAAAUCGUUGGUGUUAUUUUGCUUAAUUCUUUUGUUUUGUCUGACCGGCUGUUGUGUCUUGAACUGAAUAAUUGGCCACAACCUCGAAUUACCUCCAGCAACAUUUACUGUGAACAAAGACAUGCAUACACCAAGUUGUCCGGCUCGGCCACUGGCUCCUUGCUAAGUACCAAAAUCUCCCUCUCCUUCUGUGUCACUGCCGGCCCACUGUCUAACCCAUACUCUAUGCUGCCCACAUAUUCCACAUUGUACCUGGUACAGAGCUCCCAUUUUGUGUCCUUGGGACGAAGUGUUCAUUUGCUGUGUUUUUAGAGCUUGUGUAAUAAACAUUUUAAGUGAUAUCACGUCUCCUGCCUGGGCAUAGACCGAACCUGGGUGCCUUAUGGUAUUAGAGGAGGAUUCGUUAUUUCCUUGGGUGAAAUUCCCGGGGUGGCGUAGUCUGUAGGUUUGGCACAGUGAGGUGACAAGUCCCUUUCACAUGUACCCAGUUACAGG